AUGGCCUCGUUCCAUCUGGAUCAUCUAAAGAACUACCACAGAAGAUUUUGCCAACCUUCCAGAGCACCCAACAUUCAUACAAAGGAAGGCCAGAACAUGCUGGAAAUCUUACAAGAUUGUUUUGAAGAUCAGAGUGAGACUUCAUUUCUUGAUGAUUUUACAGAGUCAUUGACUUCUUCAACACAAAAAAAACACAGCCAAUUAUAGUCAAUCAUCAAGCAAAAAGUGCCCAGCAUCACAUUCAAAACCAGUUCAGGUGUCUUAAGGACAGGAGAAGCUUCUCUGCAAGCCUCUGCAGAGCGAGUGAAGCCGCUGGUGGAUCAGUUCAGGCUAAUGAAGUUCACCGUGGUGUGUCUGAUGAAUUGGACUUAUCUGUUGGCUCCCCUGUGGUUCACCUGGAUGCAAACGUGGUGGCGCUUCAGAAAGCUAUUUCAUCUGCUGGUCAAAAGAGAGUGGCUUCUGUCUCAAGGAGUCCAGUAGAUAAGCAGGCUUCAAAUACAAACAUUUCUUUUAAAACCAGGAAAAGGUUAAACUUUGAAGAUAAAGUUAUUUUGAGCACAGCAGAAACAGAGAACAGUGUGUUACAAGUAGAGGAUAACUUAUCCAAGGGACAAGAAGGGACAUCAUCAGAAAUCACUCAGAAAAGAGAUGAUCUGAGUUCUGAAGUCCAAUCACGUGCUAAGAAGAAUUUUUCAGUGUUGUUUUUAGAGACUGUCAAGCAGAAAGUAAAUCCAGUUCUGUGGUCAGGCACACAGCAGCAGUUCCAGCUUCUCCGCCUCCUCCAAGUGACAUGAAAUUAUUAGAAGAUGAAUUUAUUAUUGAUGGGUCAGAUAGAAGUUUUUCAAGUUGACUUUGGGUGAUGAUAGCAAGGAAAGACAGGCAUCUGAGCCCCCACAAGCCAUCUCCUGAAAACACUGCACUGCUUCAAGGUAGGAAGUCAAGAGAGAAAUCUCAUAGUUUAUCUGCAACAACUUUUGUAAGAAACACACAGUGUGAUUAGGCUCACCCAAUAGGGGAAGCUCAGCUCUCUGUUGAAGAAACCUGGGAACUACUUAGACAGAUGAGUUGGAAAAUGAUUGUAGGUCUCCAGAAAAUAAAAUGCAAUCUGAGACUGCCAAAAAACCCACCUGCGUGGGAAAGGACUACAAAACAGAACCAAAGCAGAGUGUCUAAGCCUAAAGCAGCUGAAGAACUCAGUAAGGGACAGAGUAGCUGUGAAAAUAUCAAUGUGUCAAACACUGGCCAAGACAAGUUACGAAUCAAUUCAAAAAGAAAUACGAAGGACUGUGAAGAGGUGAGGAAUGAGCCUACUCCAAGAAACAGAGCCAGCUCUUGAAAAUAAGAAAAACAACAAAAGCACCCAAACCAGUAAGGGAAAAUCUGGAAAGGAAUUUUUUCUGGUGGGUCCAAGAACAAAUUUUUUUCCCAAAGAAGUAACUUUGACUUCCAGGAGAAAUUGUAGAAUUUCUCAGCAUCCAUCUGACUGGUGGAAUGUAAAAUCAGAUGAAAGUUCUGGGGAUGGAAAUUCUUCACAAGAAAAUGACUCAUCAGUGGUAUAUCCCAAUAGAAAAAAAAACAGACUAAGAGAAAUCAUGUAUCUAAGAGGACUGGGAAGAAACCUGGUCCAUCAAAAAGACAGAAGACAGACCUGAGCUCAAGAGUACAGAAGUCUUUAAAUGGAAAGGGUUCUGAAGCAACUGUUAGUGACCAUGAUGACACUUCUCGUUCCCAGAGGAAGCCAUUGAAAAACAUUGAGGCAGACCCAACUCAGAAGAGCCUUGCUAUUUCUCGACCCGAAAGAGGCUGUAAGUAUCAAAACAAUGUUACGGCAUCACAGAAUGUUCAUUUAAAGUCUCAUACUGAGGAAUAUACAAGCAAGACACAAAUGGAGUCUGCUUUAAAUUCGGAAGUGUCUAAACGUUCAGUGUGGGAAGAAAGUGGACCUUCCAGGUUCAAGAAUUAUGAAAUGCCAGGAAGCAGUAAUUCUGAGAUGGGUGAUGAACAGGACCAGAAGAGUUUGCAUUUUAAAACAAGAAGUUCUAAUAUGUUACCAGAUAAAAAAUUACAUCACAAAUUAGUACUGCCCUCCAACUUACCAAAUGUUCAUCGAUCUAAUAGAAUAAGUUUGAAACCUCUGGAGUAUUGGCGAGGGGAACGGGUAGAUUAUCAAGAAAGCUCGUUGGGACAACGUGUGCUUGAAAUAGUAUCCCCAGGUUCAGUACCCAUCAAAAUAAAGGCACAAAGAAACCUCAGCAAAGUCAACAAAAAAGUUACCAAGAAACAGACCCAUCUCAAUACCCGUGAAGAGACUAAGAUGGAGUUGCCUCUGGGUAUACCUCUGGGAGAUCCCUUUCAGGCAACACUGGCAAAGGACCCAGAAACAAGAGAGGCUGUCCCCACGGAUCUUAUAAGACCACAAGGUACAUACUGCUUUUUUGUUGAGCAACAUGGUUUGAAAGUUUUUAAAACAUUGGAUACAAUAUUUUUUUCUACUGGAAAACUGGUUUUAGGACCCUAUGGAGAGAAAGGAAAACAGCAUGUUGGCCAAGAUAUAUUGGUUUUUUUAUGUUAACUUUGGUAACCUUUUAUGUACAUUACAUGAAACACCUUAUAAGAUAACUACUGGGGAUUCAUUCUAUGUUCCUUCAGGUAAUCAUUACAACAUUAAAAACCUCUUGAAUGUGAAA
This 2687-nucleotide long non-coding RNA is filed under the name Mus musculus (house mouse). RNAcentral describes it as "long non-coding RNA chr2:44788264-44790951". Lineage: Eukaryota; Metazoa; Chordata; Mammalia; Rodentia; Muridae. The record is from RNAcentral.